UCCUACUUUCGCCUCCCCGUCUCUCCGCCCCUAUCCCUUCUUCUUCUUCCUGGAAUAAAUAAAUUCCCUUCCUAAACUCUUCUUCCUUCCCCUUUCUACAGUAGCCCAUGGAUGCGGGCAUCCAUCUCCGCGUGCGGCACUCCUCCGGCACAAUCCGUCCGUCCUAGGCCGCUCACUGCCUCCAGCGCAACCGCCGGUCUAGAUCACCUCCGCCGCUUACAAGGAUUCCCCCUUGCCGGUGUGAUGCGUGCGUCAUCAAGCCGGCGUCGGAUCCAUCUCCGUGUGAGGCGUUCCCCGACACAAUCUGCCCGUCCUGCGCGCUCACUGCCUCUGGCACAACGGCCUGUCCAGAUCACCUCUGCCCAGUCAUUAGGGGCUCAGUCAACGGCGGCCUUCACCCCGGCCUCGCCCUGCAACAUGUCUCCGUCAAGUACAUCAACCUCGACCGGAACUGCGUCCAGGGGCACCGCGAGUGCUGGUACAUCGUCGACCUCGAUCACUGGACAGUGUCAACCAUGCAUGCAAGAAUCUCAUGAACGACUCUGCUUUGCUCCCAGAAUGAAGAGUACUGUUGCUUAAAUCAUGAAUAAGUGAUCACUAUGUUGAUCAUCUUCAAUUGUAGUAAAAAAUAGGACUCCCGAUGCAUGUAUUCGCAUGAAUAAAAAGUAUUUCUUUUAGAUAAUUUA
Molecule: long non-coding RNA, 686 nt
Organism: Aegilops tauschii subsp. strangulata
Lineage: Eukaryota; Viridiplantae; Streptophyta; Magnoliopsida; Poales; Poaceae
Source: RefSeq, a predicted model, not a curated record